RNAcentral lists this ribosomal RNA (253 nucleotides) under uncultured bacterium. RNAcentral's name for it is "partial 16S ribosomal RNA". It matches the Rfam family "Bacterial small subunit ribosomal RNA", at positions 524 to 776 of the family's 1533-position model. The record is from RNAcentral.
UACGGAGGGGGCAAGCGUUAUUCGGAAUUACUGGGCGUAAAGCGCGUGUAGGCGGGGAUACAAGUCUGAUGUGAAAGCCCUGGGCUUAACCUGGGAAGUGCAUUGGAAACUGUAUUUCUUGAGUACUGGAGAGGAAGGGGGAAUUCCCGGUGUAGAGGUGAAAUUCGUAGAGAUCGGGAGGAAUACCAGUGGCGAAGGCGCCCUUCUGGACGGUUACUGACGCUGAGACGAGAAAGCGUGGGGAUCAAACAGG